RNAcentral lists this ribosomal RNA (736 nucleotides) under Saprolegnia parasitica. Its description in RNAcentral is "eukaryotic LSU rRNA". It matches the Rfam family "Eukaryotic large subunit ribosomal RNA", at positions 32 to 664 of the family's 3401-position model. The record is from RNAcentral. Lineage: Eukaryota; Oomycota; Saprolegniomycetes; Saprolegniales; Saprolegniaceae.
CACGACGCAUAUCAAUAAGCGGAGGAAAAGAAACUAACAAGGAUUCCCCCAGUAACGGCGAGUGAAGCGGGAAGAGCUCAAGCUUAAAAUCUCCAUACUUGUAUGGCGAAUUGUAGUCUAUUGAGGCUGUUGUCAGCAUCGCGAUUGGGGACAAGUCCCUUGGAAAAGGGCAGCAUGGAGGGUGAUACUCCCGUCUCUGCUCCAAUCUGCGGUGUGUACGAUACGCUUUCUUUGAGUCGAGUUGUUUGGGAAUACAGCUCAAAGUAGGUGGUAAAUUCCAUCUAAAGCUAAAUAUUGGUGCGAGACCGAUAGCGAACAAGUACCGUGAGGGAAAGAUGAAAAGAACUUUGAAAAGAGAGUUAAAGAGUACCUGAAACUGUUGAAAGGGAACCGUAUCGUUUCCAGUGUUGUAUCCUAUGCAUAUUUCAUUCGUGGAGUAAUUUACGGGUGCCCUGUGCAUGGGUGUGACGUCAGGGUCAGUUUGUAUGCUGCGGGAGAUGGUCAGUGAGGAGGUGCGUCACUUCGGUGAAAGUUAUAUCUCGCUGUCUAGUAGCCGUGGUUGAGACUGAGGUGCCUACAACAUGCCUUAAGGUUCUAUGUUGUCUCGUGUUGGUGACUGCUUUGAUAGCUUGCUAUGUCUGUGGUUUAUUAAUGCGAUUGAUGAUGUGGAUAACUUUUGCUGUUCGGGACUCUGGCGAAAUGGAGCGAUACGACCCGUCUUGAAACACGGACCCCU